UUUUUUUUUCUUUUUUUCCUUUUUUUUUUCUUUUAAAAUUUUCCAUUUUAAGUUGGUUAUUUCUGAUUGAUAUUUAAAAGCAAAUAAUAAUGAUAUGGUAGGAGAUACACACCAAACAGGAUGUGUAAAUUAUUAUAUAAUAAGUAUUGUGCAAUAGCAAGAAAUUUUCAAUUGCACAGUAUUGCACAAUAGCAAGAAAUCUUCAAUUGCACAGUAUUGCGCAAUAGCAAGAAAUCUUCAAUUGCACAGUAUUGCGCAAUAGCAAGAAAUAUCCAAUAGCACAAUAUUGCGCAAUAGCAAGAAAUUGUCAAUUGUACAGUAUUGCACAAUAGCAAGAAAUAUUCAAUUGCACAGUAUUGUGCAAAAGAAGAUACUUCGUAUAAAUUGCUUAUUUCUUGAUCAAUUUCAAUGGGGUUUUAUUCUUGAAUUCUUGGGGUUCUUUAAUAUGCUGAAUCUAACCGUGUAUUAAGUUUUUGGAUUUUGGGCCCCGUUUUUAAAUUUGUCCACAUUGAGGUCCAAAGGGUCCAAAAUUUAACUUUGUUUGAUUUCAUCAAAAAUUGAAUUCUUGGGGUUCUUUGAUAUGCUGAAUCUAACCAUGUAUUUAGAUUUUUUAUUUGUGGACCCGCUAUCAAAUUGGUUCAUAUUGAGGUCAAAAGGGUCCAAAAUUAAACUUUGUUUGAUUUCAUCAAAAAUUGAAUUAUUGGGGUUCUUUGAUAUGCUGAAUCUUACCAUGUAUUUAGAUUUUUUAUUUGUGGGCCCGCUAUCAAAUUGGUUCAUAUUGAGGUCAAAAGGGUCCAAAAUUAAACUUUGUUUGAUUUCAUAAAAAAUUUAAUUAUUGGGGUUCUUUGAUAUGCCAAAUCUAACCGUGUAUUUUGAUUUUUAAUUUUGGGUCCCGUUUUUUAAAUUGGUCUACAUUAAGGUCCAAAGGGUCCAAAAUUAAACUUAGUUUGAUUUUAACAAAAAUUGAAUUUUUGGGGUUCUUUGAUAUGCUGAAUCUAAACAUAUGUUUAGAUUUUUGAUUAUGGGACCAGUUUUCAAGUUGGGGUCCAAAAUUAAACUUUGUUUGAUUUCAACAAAAAUUGAAUAUAUGGGGUUCUUUGAUAUGCUGAAUCUAACCAUGUAUUUUGAUUUUGGACAUUGGACCAGAAUAGGUAAAUUAAAAAAAAUUGAAGUUCUUAGACCACAUUCUUUCUGUGUCAGAAACCUAUGCUGUGUCAAAUAUUUAAUCACAAUCCAAAUUCAGAGCUGUAUCAAGCUUGAAUGUUGUGUCCAUACUUGCCCCAACUGUUCAGGGUUCGACCUCUGCGGUCGUAUCAAGCUGCGCCCAGCGAAGCAUUUUAUUGGUUAUUAUCUUGAACAUUAUUAUAGAUAGAGAUAAACUGUAAACAGCAAUAAUGUUCAGCAAAGUAAGAUCUACAAAUAAGUCAACUUGACCAAAAUGGUCAGUUGACCCCUUAAGGAGUUAUUGCCCUUUAUAGUCAAUUUUUAACCAUUUUUCGUAAUUUUUUGUAAUUUUUUACAAAAAUCUUCUCCUCUGAAACUACUAAGACAAAUUUAACCGAACUUGUCCACAAUCAUCAUUAGGGUAUCUAGUUAAAAAAUGUGUCUGAUGACCCCGCCCGCGAACCAAGAUGGCCGACAUGGCUAAAAAAUAGUACAUAGGGUAAAAUGCAGUUUUUGGCUCAUAUCUCUGAAACCAAAGCAUUUAGAGCAAAUCUGAUGAUGAUAAAAUUGUUCAUUAGGUCAAGAUCUAUCUGCCCUGAAAUUUUCAGACCAAUCAGGCAACCUGUUGUUGGGUUGCUGCCCCUGAAUUGGUAAUUUUAAGAAAAUUUUGCAGCUUUUGGUUAUUAUCUUGAAUAUUGUUAUAGAUAGAGAUAAACUGUUAACAGCAAUAAUGUACAGCAAAGUCAGAUCUACAAAUAAGGCAACAUGACCAAAAUUGUCAAUUGACCCCUUAAGGAGUUAUUGCCCUUUAUAGUCAAUUUUUAGCUCACCUGACCUGAUAGGUCAAGUGAGCUUUUCUCAUCACUUGGCGUCCGUCGUCCGUAAACUUUUACAAAAAUCUUCUCCUCUGAAACUACUGGGCCAAAUUUGACCAAACUUGGCCACAAUCAUCAUUGGGGUAUCUUGUUUAAAAAAUGUGUCCGGUGACCCGGCCAACCAACCAAGAUGGCCGCCAUGGCUAAAAAUAGAACAUAGGGGUAAAAUGUAGAUUUUGGCUUAUAUCUCUGAAACCAAAGCAUUUAGAGCAAAUCUGACAGUGGUAAAAUUGUUUAUCAGGUCAAGAUCUAUCUGCCCUGAAAUUUUCAGAUGAAUCGGACAACCCGUUGUUGGGUUGCUGCCCUUGAAUUGGUAAUUUUAAGGAAAUUUUGCAGUUUAUGGUUAUUAUCUUGAACAUUAUUAUAGAUAGAGAUAAACUGUAAACAGCAAUAAUGUUCAGCAAAGUAAGAUCUACAAAUAAGUCAACUUGACCAAAAUGGUCAUUUGACCCCUUAAGGAGUUAUUGCCCUUUAUAGUCAAUUUUUAACCAUUUUUCGUAAAUUUUUGUAAUCUUUUACAAAAAUCUUCUCCUCUGAAACUACUAAGACAAAUUUAACCAAACUUGUCCACAAUCAUCAUUAGGGUAUCUAGUUUAAAAAAUGUGUCCGAUGACCCCGCCCGCGAACCAAGAUGGCCGACAUGGCUAAAAAAUAGUACAUAGGGUAAAAUGCAGUUUUUGGCUCAUAUCUCUGAAACCAAAGCAUUAAGAGCAAAUCUGAUGAUGAUAAAAUUGUUCAUUAGGUCAAGAUCUAUCUGCCCUGAAAUUUUCAGACCAAUCAGGCAACCCGUUGUUGGGUUGCUGCCCCUGAAUUGGUAAUUUUAAGGAAAUUUUGCAGUUUUUGGUUAUUAUCUUGAACAUUAUUAUAGAUAGAGAUAAACUGUAAACAGCAAUAAUGUUCAGCAAAGUAAGAUCUACAAAUAAGUCAACUUGACCAAAAUGGUCAGUUGACCCCUUAAGGAGUUAUUGCCCUUUAUAGUCAAUUUUUAACCAUUUUUCGUAAUUUUUUGUAAUUUUUUACAAAAAUCUUCUCCUCUGAAACUACUAAGACAAAUUUAACCAAACUUGUCCACAAUCAUCAUUAGGGUAUCUAGUUUAAAAAAUGUGUCCAAUGACCCCACCCGCGAACCAAGAUGGCCGACAUGGCUAAAAAAUAGUACAUAGGGUAAAAUGCAGUUUUUGGCUCAUAUCUCUGAAACCAAAGCAUUUAGAGCAAAUCUGAUGAUGAUAAAAUUGUUCAUUAGGUCAAGAUCUAUCUGCCCUGAAAUUUUCAGACCAAUCAGACAACCCGUUGUUGGGUUGCUGCCCCUGAAUUGGUAAUUUUAAGAAAAUUUUGCAGCUUUUGGUUAUUAUCUUGAAUUUUGUUAUAGAUAGAGAUAAACUGUUAACAGCAAUAAUGUACAGCAAAGUUAGAUCUACAAAUAAGGCAACAUGACCAAAAUUGUCAAUUGACCCCUUAAGGAGUUAUUGCCCUUUAUAGUCAAUUUUUUACAAUUUUCAUAAAUUUUGUAAAUUUUUACAAAGUAUUUUCCACUGUAACUACCGGGCCAAGUUCAUUAUAGAUAGAGAUAAUAGUAAGGAGCAAGAAUGUUCAGUAAAGUAAGAUCUACAAACACAUCAUCAUCACCAAAACACAAUUUUGUCAUGAAUCCAUCUGUGUCCUUUGUUUAAUAUGCACAUAGACCAAGGUGAGCGACACAGGCUCUUUAGAGCCUCUAAUUUACAAUUUUCUUAAAUUUUGUAAAUUUUUGUAAAUUUGUACAAAGUAUUUUCCACUGUAACUACUGGGCCAAGUUCAUUAUAGAUAGAGAUAAUAGUAAGGAGCAAGAAUGUUCAGUAAAGUAAGAUCUACAAACACAUCACCAUCACCAAAACACAAUUUUGUCAUGAAUCCAUCUGUGUCCUUUGUUUAAUAUGCACAUAGACCAAGGUGAGCGACACAGGCUCUUUAGAGCCUCUAGUUUACAUAAUGUGAAGAAGCCUCGAGAACCAUGACCUCAACAUUAACAGUCUUCAGAAAACUUAAACUUGAUGCAAUAAUAUUUUAUCAAUCAUCAUUAUUUUCAUUUAUAUUGAAAUAAAUUUGAUCAUCUAAAGAAAUGAAAAAGAUAACAAAUAAGAAACUCUACACAGAAAUGCUGUAAUCUAUUGAUUCAAUUAGCUUACCUGUAAUGUAAAUAUAGAUUCUACCACUGUAUCGAUUGUGAUACGAUAUUUAUCCACUUGAGACAGUUAAAAACGCAAUGCUUGCCGAGCGUUUCAAAUAUUUAAAAUUGAUUUUGGGGGUUCUGGUCCAAGCUGUUUAGGAAUUAGGGGCCCAAAUAAGCAUUUUUGUUGUUUCCAGACAAUAACUUGUCUUAAAGUGUAUGACUUGGGGGGGAUUAUGGCUCAAACCAUUUAGGAAUUGGGGGCAAAAAAGGGGAAAAACGGGGUUUUCUGGUUAAAGGACAAUUAAGACAAAUUAAAAGCAGUGUAAGGGAGGUAAUCCAAAUCAAUUUAAGUAAUGUUUGAUUACCUCCUUUACACUGCUUGUUAAUUAUGUAUUAAGAAAUGAUGAUUGUCUGAGAUACUGACCAUAACUUGAGGGAAAGAAUUAAUUAUUGGAAUAAGGGAAAGGGGGGAGGUGAAAAAAAUUGGAUGGGAACAAUUUUUUUCUCAUUUCAGAUUUCAGAAAUUAAAAGAAAAUUUCUUCAAAUACGUUUUUUUGGGGGAUUAAUAUUCAACAGCAUAGUGUAUUGCACAAAUGCAAAAAAAACAGGGAAAAAAUUACAAAAGGUUUUACCAUAUACAGCUUCGUUAAUCUAUACUUUGGGUAGAAAAUCCUGGAUAUUUUGAAAAAUUCAGAGUUAUGAAAACUUAAUUUAAUGUGACCAAAUAAAUGAUAAUUAAAAAAAUCAUAUCUUUA
This is a long non-coding RNA of Mytilus californianus (California mussel), 4943 nucleotides long. RefSeq lists it as uncharacterized. The transcript has 2 exons. Lineage: Eukaryota; Metazoa; Mollusca; Bivalvia; Mytilida; Mytilidae. The record is from RefSeq and is a predicted model, not a curated record.